This 460-nucleotide ribosomal RNA is filed under the name uncultured bacterium. RNAcentral describes it as "partial 16S ribosomal RNA". It matches the Rfam family "Bacterial small subunit ribosomal RNA", at positions 338 to 795 of the family's 1533-position model. The record is from RNAcentral.
CCUACGGGAGGCAGCAGUGAGGAAUAUUGGUCAAUGGACGCAAGUCUGAACCAGCCAUGCCGCGUGCAGGAAGACGGCUCUAUGAGUUGUAAACUGCUUUUGUACGAGGGUAAACGCAGAUACGCGUAUCUGUCUGAAAGCAUCGUACGAAUAAGGAUCGGCUAACUCCGUGCCAGCAGCCGCGGUAAUACGGAGGAUUCAAGCGUUAUCCGGAUUUAUUGGGUUUAAAGGGUGCGUAGGCGGUCGGAUAAGUUAGAGGUGAAAUCCCGAGGCUCAACUUCGGAAUUGCCUCUGAUACUGUUCGGCUAGAGAGUAGUUGCGGUAGGCGGAAUGUAUGGUGUAGCAGUGAAAUGCUUAGAGAUCAUACAGAACACCGAUUGCGAAGGCAGCUUACCAAGCUACGUCUGACGUUGAGGCACGAAAGCGUGGGGAGCAAACAGGAUUAGAUACCCUGGUAGUC